This 254-nucleotide ribosomal RNA is filed under the name uncultured bacterium. RNAcentral describes it as "partial 16S ribosomal RNA". It matches the Rfam family "Bacterial small subunit ribosomal RNA", at positions 524 to 776 of the family's 1533-position model. The record is from RNAcentral.
UACGUAGGGUGCGAGCGUUGUCCGGAAUUAUUGGGCGUAAAGGGCUCGUAGGCGGUUUGUCGCGUCGGGAGUGAAAUCCACUGGCUUAACUGGUGGCUUGCUUUCGAUACGGGCAGACUGGAGGUAUGCAGGGGAGAACGGAAUUCCUGGUGUAGCGGUGAAAUGCGCAGAUAUCAGGAGGAACACCAAUGGCGAAGGCAGCUCACUGGGACGUUACUGACGCUGAGACGCGAAAGCGUGGGGGAGCAAACAGG